CGACUGUUGUGGGCUUGGUGUGGUUUCGGCUGUGGGUCUGUCUGUAGCCAGAUAGAGCGCCGGCUGCGAGUCAGAAGGUGUCAGUGUUUUCAGUUAUUGGAGAUGAUGCUACUGUUUGCAGUAAGAGUUUGAAUUAUGGAAGAAGCAAGCGAGGCAAGCCACACAGAGAGACUAGAUGAACAGACAUGUAAUGCCAACCCAGAUGACUCUGACCAGCACGUCAGGCUGCAUAAGAAUCAGGAUAACCUGAAAAGACGUGUGAAGAACAGUAUUAAGUUUAAGGACUGUAGUAACCCUUGUCCUAAUAUCACUCAGUUCCCAGACCUCAUGGAAUACCUUCCGAAGGGCUAUAAUUAUCACGUGUGUUCGUACACAGUUAAUAAAAAGCACGAGGAUCACUUGGAUUUUGAAGCCAUGAUUCGUGUACAAACGAAAACGGAGGAAGAAGUGCAACAGUGGCUCCGUGUUUUGAGAGAAACUACAAAUGUGACAUGGAGGAUUGACAAAAGUAGACCACGCAAAAAACAGCGCGUUCUCUUUAAAGCCGAUUAUAGGUGCCACCACAAUACUAAGCCACGGUCUUCAAAUGCAAAUAAUAAGAGAAGGUCAAAAAACACUAACUGUCCUGCAAAACUGUACAUAACAGUGGUUCGCACUGCCAUCAGCCAGGGAAGACAGAGUGGGAGUACAGAUCCUCAUGUUCCUCUUUAUCCAACACUUAUUCGCCUGGCUAAUUUACACAACCAUGUCGUAUGUGCCAGUGAUGCUCCACGACAUCGGGAUUUUGGUGAAGAUGCCAUGAGACACUUAAGUCAGCUCUGUGAGACUGGUCACUUGACGUCUUCAGCUCCCGAUGUGCUGAAAUAUGACCUGCAAAUAGAGACCUCUGAAAACUGUAUUUACAUUUCUUCUGAUGGAGACAUCUGCCCUGAACUCCAGUACUGUGAUAGUCAACUUGGAUUUUCAGAAGGGACCAAAGUUUGUAACUCUGAGGCACUGAAGACAUCCAGUAAUUUACCAAAUGUGUCUGAUGACCAUUCCACACUCCAGUUUGACAAGAAUGAGUUCUCUACAAUUAAACAGAAAUUCCAAGACAUGUGUGAUGAACUUAUGGCAGUGAUUAAUGAUUCGCCAGAAAGUUUUGCAGAACCCGCACAAGCAAUGGUGACGAACUUUGACAGAAUUAGAAACGAUAGACUGAAGGUUCUGUCAGCCAUGCGCAUGUUUGGUCGAUACACCAGCAUCAGUUCGGCUGCGCGAAGAGCUUCCGGAAAUCAGCGCACAGCUAAGCACAGGGGCUGUACGGGAGCUGCUCAGCAGGCUCAUAGGAAGAACAAACUUGGAAGCAGAAGACAUCGUCAUGCUGGAAGCCCUACAAAAUUUCCCACAGAUCAUAUCUAUUAUUUGCAGCAGUGA
Molecule: long non-coding RNA, 1416 nt
Filed under: Lepisosteus oculatus (spotted gar)
Lineage: Eukaryota; Metazoa; Chordata; Actinopteri; Semionotiformes; Lepisosteidae
Description: lncRNA (ENSLOCG00000022854.1)
Source: RNAcentral